GCGUCGAUGUCGCAACGGUCAGCAUAUGCUCCCAGAAAGAGUGAGAUCUAGGUUCGAAUCCCGGCUGACGCA
Molecule: non-coding RNA, 72 nt
Organism: Parelaphostrongylus tenuis
Lineage: Eukaryota; Metazoa; Nematoda; Chromadorea; Rhabditida; Metastrongylidae
Source: the annotation of a GenBank genome assembly